RNAcentral lists this ribosomal RNA (439 nucleotides) under uncultured bacterium. RNAcentral describes it as "partial 16S ribosomal RNA". It matches the Rfam family "Bacterial small subunit ribosomal RNA", at positions 339 to 795 of the family's 1533-position model. The record is from RNAcentral.
CUACGGGGCGCUGCAGUGGGGAAUCUUGGACAAUGGGCGCAAGCCUGAUCCAGCCAUGCCGCGUGAGUGAAGAAGGCCUUAGGGUCGUAAAGCUCUUUCGCCAGAGAUGAUAAUGACAGUAUCUGGUAAAGAAACCCCGGCUAACUCCGUGCCAGCAGCCGCGGUAAUACGGAGGGGGUUAGCGUUGUUCGGAAUUACUGGGCGUAAAGCGCGCGUAGGCGGAUUAGUCAGUCAGAGGUGAAAUCCCAGGGCUCAACCCUGGAACUGCCUUUGAUACUGCUAGUCUUGAGUUCGAGAGAGGUGAGUGGAAUUCCGAGUGUAAAGGUGAAAUUCGUAGAUAUUCGGAGGAACACCAGUGGCGAAGGCGGCUCACUGGCUCGAUACUGACGCUGAGGUGCGAAAGUGUGGGGAGCAAACAGGAUUAGAUACCCCAGUAGUC